RNAcentral lists this long non-coding RNA (709 nucleotides) under Neodiprion pinetum (white pine sawfly). Its description in RNAcentral is "uncharacterized LOC124222872, transcript variant X2". The stretch from base 451 to 609 matches the Rfam family "Bacterial large subunit ribosomal RNA", at positions 2473 to 2632 of the family's 2925-position model. Lineage: Eukaryota; Metazoa; Arthropoda; Insecta; Hymenoptera; Diprionidae. The record is from RNAcentral.
CUUAAUUCCAGUCUUAAUUAUAAGGAAUUCGGCAAAAAAUUAAUUCGCCUGUUUAACAAAAACAUGUCGUUUUGAUAAAACAUAAAAAGUCUAAUCUGCUCAGUGAAAAUUUUAAAUAGCCGCAGUAUUCUAACUGUGCAAAGGUAGCAUAAUAAUUUGUUCUUUAAUUUAGGACUGGAAUAAAUGAUUUGACGAGAUUAAGACUGUCUUAUAAUUAUUAAUUAUUGAAUUUAAUUUUUGAGUUAAAAAGCUUAAAUUUCAUUAGAGGACGAGAAGACCCUAUAGAGUUUUAUAAUUAAAUUUAUUUUAUUAAUUAAUUUAUUUUUAUGAAAUAAAUAUAAUUAUUUUGUUAGGGUGAUAAUUAAAUUUAAUAAACUUUUUAUUUUGUUUUACAUUAAUUAAUGAAUUUUUGAUCCUAUAUUUUAGAUUAUUCGAUUAAAUUACCUUAGGGAUAACAGCGUUAUUUUUUUUAAAGUUCUUAUUGACAUAAAAAAUUGCGACCUCGAUGUUGGAUUAAAAUUUAUUUUGGGUGUAGAAGCUUAAAAAUUUAGGUCUGUUCGACCUUUAAAAUUUUACGUGAUCUGAGUUCAAACCGGUUUAAGCCAGGUUGGUUUCUAUCCUUAAUUUUAUUAAAAAUUUUUAGUACGAGAGGACCAUAAUUUUGAAUUAUUAUAAUUUUAUUUAAAAUGAAUUUUAUUAAAUUUGUUAA